UACACUUCACUCAAGGUGCAACGGUUAUAACAAUUAGUUGAUAGAUUACAAGGUUAUGAAGAAUGGAUUGAACAUCUUUUUCACUAUUGGGGCAUUGCACUUGCGGUGGAAGGGGUAGUGGCUCGAUCAGCAUCGAUCAUUGAUUUGAUAUAGUAUUCCCCAGCUUUGUACGAGGAUCGAACCAUGGGGCCAGAAGCAACAUAACGGAAUCCCAUUUCCAUGCCAAGUAACCGAUACUUCUCGAAAGCUUCUGGUGUAACAUAUUCGGAGACUGCCAUAUGCCGCUUUGAUGGCCUCAUAUACUGACCAAAUGUCAUGACAUCAACUCCUGCAGCCCUCACUUUCUCCAUUGUGCUAAUCACUUGAUCAGGUGUUUCCCCACAACCCAACAUUAUGGAAGUCUUUGUAAGGGUGCCAGCAGGAGCAUAUG
This 430-nucleotide unclassified non-coding RNA is filed under the name Hevea brasiliensis (rubber tree). The record is from RNAcentral. Lineage: Eukaryota; Viridiplantae; Streptophyta; Magnoliopsida; Malpighiales; Euphorbiaceae.